GCUGGGUGUGGUGGCGGGCACCUCUAAUCCCAGCUACUGGGAGGCUGAGGCAGGAGAAUCACUUGAACCCAGGUGGCAGAGAUUGCAGUGAGCUGAGAUUUUGCCACUGCACUUCAGCCUGGGUGACAGAGUGAAACGCUGCCUCAA
This 147-nucleotide non-coding RNA is filed under the name Callithrix jacchus (white-tufted-ear marmoset). The record is from Rfam by way of RNAcentral. Lineage: Eukaryota; Metazoa; Chordata; Mammalia; Primates; Cebidae.